This 273-nucleotide small nuclear RNA is filed under the name Octodon degus (degu). RNAcentral describes it as "7SK RNA (ENSODEG00000023072.1)". It matches the Rfam family "7SK RNA". From Rfam's summary of the family: 7SK was discovered as an abundant small nuclear RNA in the mid-70s but a possible function has only recently been suggested. Two independent studies have found that 7SK RNA binds the CDK9/cyclin T complex (known as elongation factor P-TEFb). The record is from Rfam by way of RNAcentral. Lineage: Eukaryota; Metazoa; Chordata; Mammalia; Rodentia; Octodontidae.
GCAUGUGAGAGUGAUCUGGCUGUGACAUUUAUUACCCCAUUGAUGAACAGGGGUGAUUCAGCUGAUCUGGAUGGCUGGAUGGAUAUCCCCUUCCCCCUUCACUGCCCCAUGUGUGUCCCUCCCGAAGCCGUGCUCUGGGUAGAAGAGGACGACCAUUCGCAAUAGAGGGUGACUAUUUCCUCUGCUAGGCUGCACUCCCUGCUAGAACAAGCUCUCAAGGUCCAUGAGCCACACCCAGAGCUAUGCUAAACCAGUGCACUAAGCCAGUUAUCU